Molecule: long non-coding RNA, 703 nt
Organism: Carassius gibelio (silver crucian carp)
Lineage: Eukaryota; Metazoa; Chordata; Actinopteri; Cypriniformes; Cyprinidae
Exons: 3
Source: RefSeq, a predicted model, not a curated record
UUGGUUGGCCUGCUGCUGUCAGCGACAACUGAGAGGGGCCCCCUUGAGGGGAAUCCCGAUAACAGUGUCAUUACAUGUUACUGCAUUGACGAUCAAAGGGGCGCUCACACAGUGUCGUUGCAUUUUAUUCUUAACCAGUCGUUGUCUUGGGGCCCCAGGUCAGCUCGGGGCCCCAAGCAAUUGCUUGGUUUGCCUGCCUUGUUGCGACGGGCCUGAUCACUGCUUCCUAACAAACUAUCUCUAAAGGUAUCUCUUAACAUCUGAGAACUUGUCAUUAAAAACUGGCAAUAAUUCAAGUUGCCUUAUUCUAACAAAGUUUGGUGCAGAUCUUCUAAAGUCUAGGUGUGCGUGAGCUCAUGAAAUGCGCUCUGGUGAGGAUGGAAAUAUGAAGUUGAUUUUAGAGGGCUGUCACUCUUUUCUUCAUCUUAAUCUGGCCUUCACUCAUGUCAAGGAAAUAGCAGCCUUAGGAACCAACCAGAGUCUGAGAAAACAGAUAUUGGAAUAAAGGUUUGGUUUACCUUUUUAUGACUUAUAUAAAUUUAUGACUUGCAAUGUAUUUGCCAUCGGAUUACUCUCUGUGGAAAAGUUAAUCACAUUCAUGUGGUGAUCUUAUCUUGUGCAGAUGUUUUGCCAACAGUGUCAUAAUCUGGAGCUUCUAGAUGUGUGUAACUGUGUGUGUCUGUCUGAUCAAAGCCCUCUCCUU